GUAUAGGGGUAAACAUACUAUAUACAGGGCCAGUUCCAGUACCAUAUUAUAAUGUACAGGGAUACUGGAUCUAUAGAGGUAGAUAUGUAUAGGGGUAAACAUACUAUAUACAGGUUCAGUACCAUAUUAUAAUGUACAGGGAUACUGGAUCUAUAGAGGUAGAUAUGUAUAGGGGUAAACAUACUAUAUACAGGGUCAGUACCAUAUUAUAAUGUACAGGGAUACUGGAUCUAUAGAGGUAGAUAUGUAUAGGGGUAAACAUACUAUAUACAGGGUCAGUACCAUAUUAUAAUGUACAGGGAUACUGGAUCUAUAGAGGUAGAUAUGUAUAGGGGUAAACAUACUAUAUACAGGGUCAGUACCAUAUUAUAAUGUACAGGGAUACUGGAUCUAUA
This 395-nucleotide long non-coding RNA is filed under the name Salmo salar (Atlantic salmon). RNAcentral's name for it is "lncRNA (ENSSSAG00000105161.1)". The record is from RNAcentral. Lineage: Eukaryota; Metazoa; Chordata; Actinopteri; Salmoniformes; Salmonidae.